UAUAAUAUAAAUAUUCAAUACUUUCUAAUUAAAAAAAUAAUGAAAAGUAAAUUUGUAAUAUAACAAAAUAAAAUUGGAGGAGUAAUUAAAAAAAAAAAGAAUUUACAAUGGAAAGAGACACUUAAAAUUGCGAGAAUUUGACGCGUGGCAGCACCCCAGAUGCGUAAGAGCCAGACGCUUUUUUACAACGUCUCUUCCCUUCCCCUUUACAUAUCGGGUUUGCUUUUAGCCUUCUAAUUCCCUUUAGGCAAAAAGCUUUGCUCAAGCACAAGCUAAAAAGGCAUGAGCAUAAAGCCGACUGCAGCACAUCACGAUUCACGUACAGAGACCCGAGCCUGACCUUGUUUUGUUUCUUUUUCUUUUCUUAUUAAUGGCCACACCUCACAACAUGAUCGAUCAGCACAGAGCCUUUUUUUUUAAAUCUUCUGCACUAGCAAGGCAACCCUACCC
Molecule: long non-coding RNA, 450 nt
Filed under: Theobroma cacao (cacao)
Lineage: Eukaryota; Viridiplantae; Streptophyta; Magnoliopsida; Malvales; Malvaceae
Description: long non-coding RNA (TCAC_LNC005122)
Source: RNAcentral